GACGAACGCUGGCGGCGUGCUUAAUACAUGCAAGUCGAACGGAAAGGCCCUGAUCUUGUGGGUUGCUCGAGUGGCGAACGGGUGAGUAACACGUGAGUAACAUGCCCUUGACAUUGGGAUAAAUUUAGGAAACCGGGGCUAUUAUAGGAUAGAAGCUCCUGAUGCAUGGUGGGGGUUGGAAAGUGUCGGCGGUUGGGGCUGGAAUCGCGGCUUAUCAGCUUGUUGGGGGGGUAGUGGCUUACCAAGGCUUUGAAGGGUAGGCGGCCUGAGAGGGUGGCCGGCCACAUGGGGACUGAGAUACGGCCCAGACGCCUACGGGAGGCAGUAGUGGGGAAUAUUGCACAGUGGGCGGAAGCCUGAUGCAGCAACGCCGCGUGCGGGAUGACGGCCUUCGGGUUAUAAACCACUUUCGCCGUUGACGAAGCGUGAGUGACGGUAAUUGGUAAAGAAGCACCGGCUAACUACGUG
This 468-nucleotide ribosomal RNA is filed under the name uncultured bacterium. Its description in RNAcentral is "partial 16S ribosomal RNA". It matches the Rfam family "Bacterial small subunit ribosomal RNA", at positions 28 to 507 of the family's 1533-position model. The record is from RNAcentral.